UACGUAGGGUGCAAGCGUUAAUCGGAAUUACUGGGCGUAAAGGGCGCGUAGGCGGACAGUUAAGUUGGGGGUGAAAGCCCGGGGCUCAACCUCGGAAUUGCCUUCAAUACUGGCUGUCUUGAGUGUGAGAGAGGUGUGUGGAACUCCGAGUGUAGAGGUGAAAUUCGUAGAUAUUCGGAAGAACACCAGUGGCGAAGGCGACACACUGGCUCACUACUGACGCUGAGGCGCGAAAGCGUGGGGAGCAAACAGG
RNAcentral lists this ribosomal RNA (253 nucleotides) under uncultured bacterium. RNAcentral describes it as "partial 16S ribosomal RNA". It matches the Rfam family "Bacterial small subunit ribosomal RNA", at positions 524 to 776 of the family's 1533-position model. The record is from RNAcentral.